UGUGACCUCAAAUCAGGUAGGACUACCCGCUGAACUUAAGCAUAUCAAUAAGCGGAGGAAAAGAAACUAACAAGGAUUCCCCUAGUAACUGCGAGUGAAGCGGGAAAAGCUCAAAUUUAAAAUCUGGCGGUCUUUCGGCUGUCCGAGUUGUAAUCUAGAGAAGUGUUAUCCGCGCUGGACCGUGUACAAGUCUCCUGGAAUGGAGCAUCAUAGAGGGUGAGAAUCCCGUCUUUGACAUGGACUGCCAGGGCUUUGUGAUGCGCUCUCAAAGAGUCGAGUUGUUUGGGAAUGCAGCUCAAAAUGGGUGGUAAAUUCCAUCUAAAGCUAAAUAUUGGCGAGAGACCGAUAGCGAACAAGUACCGUGAGGGAAAGAUGAAAAGAACUUUGGAAAGAGAGUUAAACAGUACGUGAAAUUGCUGAAAGGGAAACGCUUGAAGUCAGUCGCGUCGUCCAGGGAUCAACCUUGCUUUUGCUUGGUGCACUUUCUGGUUCGAUGGGUCAGCAUCAAUUUUGACUGUUGGAAAAAGGUUGAGGGAAUGUGGCAUCUUUGGAUGUGUUUAUAGCCCUUGGUCACAUACAAUGGUUGGGAUUGAGGAACUCAGCACGCCGCAAGGCCGGGUUUUAAACCACGUACGUGCUUAGGAUGCUGGCAAUAUGGCUUUAAUCGACCCGUCUUGAAACACGGACCAAGGAGUCUAACAUGCCUGCGAGUGUUUGGGUGGAAAACCCGAGCGCGUAAUGAAAGUGAAAAGUUGAGAUCCCUGUCGUGGGGAGCAUCGACGCCCGGACCAGACCUUUUGUGACGGUUCCGCGGUAGAGCAUGUAUGUUGGGACCCGAAAGAUGGUGAACUAUGCCUGAAUAGGGUGAAUCCAGAGGAAACUCUGGUGGAGGCUCGUAGCGAUUCUGACGUGCAAAUCGAUCGUCAAAUUUGGGUAUAGGGGCGAAAG
This 948-nucleotide ribosomal RNA is filed under the name Cortinarius alboviolaceus. RNAcentral describes it as "eukaryotic LSU rRNA". It matches the Rfam family "Eukaryotic large subunit ribosomal RNA", at positions 1 to 929 of the family's 3401-position model. Lineage: Eukaryota; Fungi; Basidiomycota; Agaricomycetes; Agaricales; Cortinariaceae. The record is from RNAcentral.